This 253-nucleotide ribosomal RNA is filed under the name uncultured bacterium. Its description in RNAcentral is "partial 16S ribosomal RNA". It matches the Rfam family "Bacterial small subunit ribosomal RNA", at positions 524 to 776 of the family's 1533-position model. The record is from RNAcentral.
UACGGAGGGGGCUAGCGUUGUUCGGAAUUACUGGGCGUAAAGCGCGCGUAGGCGGCUUUGUACGUUAGAGGUGAAAGCCCGGAGCUCAACUCCGGAACUGCCUUUAAGACUGCAUCGCUAGAAUUGUGGAGAGGUGAGUGGAAUUCCGAGUGUAGAGGUGAAAUUCGUAGAUAUUCGGAAGAACACCAGUGGCGAAGGCGACUCACUGGACACAUAUUGACGCUGAGGUGCGAAAGCGUGGGGAGCAAACAGG